RNAcentral lists this ribosomal RNA (253 nucleotides) under uncultured bacterium. RNAcentral describes it as "partial 16S ribosomal RNA". It matches the Rfam family "Bacterial small subunit ribosomal RNA", at positions 524 to 776 of the family's 1533-position model. The record is from RNAcentral.
GACAGAGGGUGCAAGCGUUAAUCGGAAUUACUGGGCGUAAAGCGCUCGUAGGUGGCUAAUUAAGUCGGAUGUGAAAGCCCUGGGCUUAACCUGGGAAUGCCAUUCGAGACUGGUUAGCUAGAGGUGGGUAGAGGAAGGUGGAAUUUCCGGUGUAGCGGUGAAAUGCGUAGAUAUCGGAAGGAACACCAGUGGCGAAGGCGACCUUCUGGACCCAACCUGACACUGAGGAGCGAAAGCGUGGGGAGCAAACAGG